RNAcentral lists this transfer-messenger RNA (363 nucleotides) under Escherichia coli. It matches the Rfam family "transfer-messenger RNA". Rfam says of the family: Bacterial tmRNA, also known as 10Sa RNA or SsrA, is named for its dual tRNA and mRNA-like properties. Lineage: Bacteria; Pseudomonadati; Pseudomonadota; Gammaproteobacteria; Enterobacterales; Enterobacteriaceae. The record is from RNAcentral.
GGGGCUGAUUCUGGAUUCGACGGGAUUUGCGAAACCCAAGGUGCAUGCCGAGGGGCGGCUGGCCUCGUAAAAAGCCGCAAAAAAUAGUCGCAAACGACGAAAACUACGCUUUAGCAGCUUAAUAACCUGCUUAGAGCCCUCUCUCCCUAGCCUCCGCUCUUAGGACGGGGAUCAAGAGAGGUCAAACCCAAAAGAGAUCGCGUGGAAGCCCUGCCUGGGGUUGAAGCGUUAAAACUUAAUCAGGCUAGUUUGUUAGUGGCGUGUCCGUCCGCAGCUGGCAAGCGAAUGUAAAGACUGACUAAGCAUGUAGUACCGAGGACGUAGGAAUUUCGGACGCGGGUUCAACUCCCGCCAGCUCCACCA